Molecule: long non-coding RNA, 482 nt
Organism: Rosa rugosa (rugosa rose)
Lineage: Eukaryota; Viridiplantae; Streptophyta; Magnoliopsida; Rosales; Rosaceae
Exons: 2
Source: RefSeq, a predicted model, not a curated record
UCGGGACUCUCUACUGGCUAGUGAUUUUCCGUAUUUAAUUAUAUACGUGAUGCAUGAUGGAAGUAUACUGUUAGUUCAAAUUUGAAAUGUUUUUAAGUUAACGUGCAUAUAAGAUUGUUGAUGGCGGUGUGUGAGAGCGGAAAGGUGGUCGAUGACUUCCUUGGGGAUUAGCCACCCCUAAACCUCCGGAGGGUUAGCUACACCGGUCGGACGGUGCGCAAUCGCAAUGAUGACACGGUUCUGUGUGUGUAGCUAGUGUGUUAAGUUUGGCGCUCUGUGACUGGUAAGGUCAGAUGUUGGUUCUACGGAAUCAGGCCAUCAGUUUGGAUGCAGGUACUGUGCACUGGUGACGGGACAAAAGCGGACGGAGCUGGGUGUGCGGAAUAAGUCCGGUAAACCAUUGUUUGGACUUUGUUCUACAUUCUUUUUCUCGAACUUCGUGUUCCGAAAGUUGUUGAUAGUUAGCUUGCUCAUUCCUUAAA